CAAGCCUUGACAUCCCUCUGACAGCGUAUGUAAUGUAUGUUCCCUUCGGGGCAGAGGAGACAGGUGGUGCAUGGUUGUCGUCAGCUCGUGUCGUGAGAUGUUGGGUUAAGUCCCGCAACGAGCGCAACCCUUAUCUUUAGUAGCCAGCGCGUAAAGGUGGGCACUCUAGAGAGACUGCCAGGGAUAACCUGGAGGAAGGUGGGGAUGACGUCAAAUCAUCAUGCCCCUUAUGGCUUGGGCUACACACGUGCUACAAUGGCGUAAACAAAGGGAAGCGAGCCCGUGAGGGGGAGCAAAUCCCAAAAAUAACGUCUCAGUUCGGAUUGUAGUCUGCAACUCGACUACAUGAAGCUGGAAUCGCUAGUAAUCGCGAAUCAGAAUGUCGCGGUGAAUACGUUCCC
This 401-nucleotide ribosomal RNA is filed under the name uncultured bacterium. RNAcentral's name for it is "bacterial SSU rRNA". It matches the Rfam family "Bacterial small subunit ribosomal RNA", at positions 975 to 1375 of the family's 1533-position model. The record is from RNAcentral.